RNA transcript from Diachasma alloeum, 4375 nucleotides. RefSeq lists it as uncharacterized. The record is from RefSeq and is a predicted model, not a curated record. Lineage: Eukaryota; Metazoa; Arthropoda; Insecta; Hymenoptera; Braconidae. The transcript is spliced from 5 exons.
CUUUAGUAAAAUAGGAUCUCGUGUUAUACUUGCGCAUGCGCAAGAUGUUGACCUGGUGCCAUUGUUCUCAUGUGCGUAAUAUAUAUCAAUAGCACCAGCGUUCUGACUAUCAUACAGAGAGGUGUAAUAAGACGAGUAGCCGUUGAAUAAAUGUUCCAUUUACAGUUAAUCUGUUUCACUUCAUUUGCAUAACCAAUAGUCUAACAGGUUAUGGGCCCAGAGUACGCUUAGGCGCUUACUCUGAUAAAAAACAGUAAAUUAGUGAAGUGAAGAGUAAAAGAGAAAAGACUGGUGAAAAACAGACAAAGUGGAAGGACGAACGUUAUAACCGAGGGGUGCAUACGGACAGGCAAGAUGGGCGAUGAGAUGAGUGACGACCUGCUACAAUUCGUGGAGGAUCAGACAUUUUUGUUUGGUUUCGACACACUCCAUCAAGGAGAGGACGUCGCAUUCAAGAUUCAGGGGAAUAGGCUAGAGAUGAGAACUCAAUCUGGAGUCGUGUAUAGAACAGACAGAAGAAUGAUAUCGGAUGAACAUUGGAGAGCGGUGAACAAAUGGUACGCAAAGAAACAAGAGAAAAAUGAACCCCCCAUCAUUCCUAAACUCUACCUGGAGCAACUCAGUUCAGCAACUGUUACAAGAGAUGAGUCGGCCAAGGCGCGCACAAGAGUGACAAAAGCUGAAGUACAUCAGUCAGGACAAGUAAACCUGAUCUGCGAAAAGCUGGAUACGAUCUCCAAGCUGUUGCAGACAAUAGUUGACGUACAAAAGAAAAACACAGGUGAUUAUAUGACUGAUCAUUUGAGAGAGAUGAGGAAAGAAAUGGCCAAAGAAAAACAAAGAAAUGCAGCACAAUUGCAGAACAUUACCAAAAUGUUGGAAAAAUUGACGAAAACCAUCAAUGAGCCAGGAGAGGUUGGAGCUAAAGGAAGAAAUGAGUUUGACUUUAUAGAAGAUUACAAUGAGACAGAGGAGGAUGGCGCAGGAUUUGAAAAUGAAAUAGCCGGAAUAGUUAAAUCACAGUAUGAGAACUUAAGACGGAUCAAGAUGAGACAGAACAGCGAAAGUCCAAACAGUAGCCCUGCUAAAAAAGUAGGGAAGGCUGUAAAAUUGGAGUUUUUAAAUGAAAAUUUGCCAUUAAAAAGAGAUUACAAAUUAACGAGUGAAACUAGAUUUGAACACUUCUAUGAUUUCUUUAAAUCUGAACUGAGAGCUAAUAAACUGUUGCAUGUAAUAGACAGCGCAGUAGACUUCAAAGGGGAUAGAAAGACACUAGAAGAACAAAAAUUUAGAGUUCGAGACAUUUUGAUCAGUCACAUUGACAAAAAUUAUCGUUACAAGGUAAUGAAGUUUGAAGAUCCAGUCGAUAUUCUUAAUAAAUUGAGAGAACUCAAGCAAUUCGAGGAAAAUGUAACGCCUUUUACUGGCAGAAAGGAAAUAUCAAAUAUGGUAUACAUCAAAGAUCAAAUAAGUGCAAUGGAGUUUUGCGAUAAAUUUGAAGAUGCAAUACGAACUUAUGAGAACACUUCAUCUGCAACUCCUCUGUCUGAAGAAGAGAAGAGAGAUGCGUUUUACAAUGCAGUCAUGGUAUCUGUACCUUUGGUUCAACAACUAGAAUCAACUGCUCAAGUCAAAGGUGAAAGACCUCUUCGAUAUGAUCAACUUAAAACACUUGUCCAGGACGAAGAAGUUACUAGGAGCCGAAUAGAAGGCGCGAAUCGCGAAGUGAGGCUUGCCAAAAAAUCAGACAGGUGUUUCGAGUGUGGUGGUAACGGACAUUUUGGACGAGACUGCCUUAACAAGGGCAUGGGCAAGCUCUGCUAUGUAUGUAACAACUACGGGCACAUAGCAAUGGACUGUUCAAAAUUCAAAGGACACAAUGACAACCAAAAAGAUAAGCUGAAACAAACAAAUUAUUAUGGACACAAUUCUCGUGGGUUUGGGCGUGGUGAUGAUGGUGAUUUCCCAAAAAGGAAGUUAGAGAAUGGUGGCACAAAUGAUGGGGCAGGUAUGAAGAGGAGAAAAUACAGCAACCAAACAGACAAACCAUGUUUUACAUCAUCAAAACCCAAAGGAGGAUCAAAAACAGGAUUUUUCAAGGAAGGAGAGAGGAGAUUCGCUGAAAACGACAGGGAGAAGGGUAAGUUCGAUGUGAAUUUAAUUUGUCCAAUGAAAGUAGAUAGCCUAUAAAAGGAAACGUGAUGUAGGUUGAAGACCCAAAAUUCAAUAAAAAUAAUUGCCUUGCUGAGUUCUUAGCUGACUCAGGUGCAACUGAGCAUCUGACAAAUUCAAAAUUAAUAUUUAAUACUUUAGACGAGAAAAUCAGAUGUUAUUAAAUAUGCAAAUAAUGAUGGGUCAGCAGCCUUAAGAAGGGAGGGGGUAGGGAGGGUCGAAAUUUCAUUAGAAAGAAGGAAGAAGUUUGAAAUAGAUGCGGUAAUUUUUGCGGCGGCUCUUCAAGCCAACUUGUUAUGUUUAACCCCUCACGUACGGGGCCUUUCUGAUACCAAGUCUACCACACGCUCAAUAUUCUUUGCAUUCCAUAUUUUCUGAUGAAUGAAAAAUUAUAAAUAAAAUACAUAAUUGAAGCUACAAUAUUCACCUUCCCAAUGGUAUUAGUUCGAUUGUAUGAUCUGCCAUAGUUUUGGAAAUAUUCAAUUUUGAAAAGAGCCGUGCGUUUUUGCACGGGUCGGUAUGACAUACCGAGCCCGUACGUGAGGGGCUAAGGAGAUUUGCUGAAAAGGGACUCGCGAUUUACUUAGAUGAUGAAAGAAUAGACAUCUUUGAUCCAGACUCUAACGAGUGAAAACCUUACUGGAUAAUAGAUCUAGAGAUAAACAGGUAUAACUCUCUCAGUAAUGAAUUUCAUAAAAGCACAAAUAGAAGAGUAAUAUCAAACACGGCAGAGGGUGAGUUUGAAAUGAGAAAAUACAUGGCGCGAACUACUACAGCCAAAUAAAAAGUAGUGGUUAGUGAAAUUCAAACUGAAAGUGUAGACCAGGUCGAAGAAAUGGCUAUUGAAGAAAGGAAAGAUGAGUGGGAUAAGACCAAAAUAGAUAAGAUAAAAAGUACCGAGGAAACUCCUAAACAAUCCAAAAACCCUUUUGAACAGUCUAGCUUCGAUUUCUCGAUCUGGGAUAGACAACUACACAAAAUUGAUGAGGUACAAGAGGAGAACCCAAGUAAGAAUUGUAAUCUAUUUGAAGAAGAAGAGAAUAAAUUACAGGAGAAAAACAAAGCUAUGCUAUGGCAUGUCAGAUUUGGUCAUGUGUCAAUUAUUUACCUGAAAGCUUUGCAGAUAAAAUUAAAAAACAAUAAAGAACUGAAAGAUGUGAUUUUCGAUGAAUCUUCAAUUAGGAUAAGUUUUUAAUAUUGCUACUAUAUGUAGACGACAUACUGCUGGUAAGUAAGGACAAACUCAAAUUGGAUGAAGUAAAAGCAAAAUUGAGUUCAGAAUUUGAAAUGACGGUAAUAGGUGAGCCCAAAGAAUUCUUGAAUAUUUCAAUUACACGUGACAGGAAAAAUCAAAUAAUCAAGAUGAGUCAGAAAAAAAAGGUAAAUAAAAUUCUAGAGAAGUAUGGUUUCGAGAAUUCACAUUCUCAAAGGAAUCCAAUGCUCACAAGACAGGCUUCCAAUCAUGAAAGAAAGAUGAGAGAGUUAGACACUGGCAAUGAACUUGAUAGUGAAACUGAGGAAAGACUGGACAGUCCAUAUAGAGAGAUUGUGGGCAGCCUGCUGUACCCGGCAGGAGCAGCUAGACCGAACAUUUCGAACGCGAUCAAUAUAUUGUCAACAUCAGGCCAGUCCUAUAGGUGAGGACUGGAAGAUGGUAAAAAGAGUAUUCAGGCACCUGAGAGGUACUUUGACUUUAGGCCUUCGAUAUUCAGGUGAGAGGACUGAGAUUCAAGGCUACUCAGACGCGAGCUUUGCAGCCUGCAAAGGCUCACUGACCACGUGCGAGUGCGAGUGCGCAAACUGUUGGCCUGGUGCCGUUGUUCUCACGUAGAUUUGUAAUCAAACUAUUCGGAGAUUCCAUUGCUUGGCGAAGACAUAAACAGUCGUAUGUAGCACUUUCGACUUGUCAAACCGAGUACGUUGCAAUGAGUUAGGAAAAAGGAGGACUUAAAAUAACAAGAUGAGAAGACUCAGGAUCAGUCGAGAGGGCGUGUUGGAAUAGACGACGCCUGUUCCCGAUCGUACUGCCCUGUUGCCUAUACUCAACAGCCUGUGCUAUAUUUAUUCUCGUGCUGUACUUGCGAGUGCGCAAACUGUUGGCCUGGUGCCGUUGUUCUCACGUGCGUUAGCCCUAGCAUUCUAACUUUACAGAAAGAUAUGACAAGACGCGUAACCAUUGAAUAAAAGUUCUUUUCUCAGUUAA